RNAcentral lists this ribosomal RNA (445 nucleotides) under uncultured bacterium. Its description in RNAcentral is "partial 16S ribosomal RNA". It matches the Rfam family "Bacterial small subunit ribosomal RNA", at positions 354 to 796 of the family's 1533-position model. The record is from RNAcentral.
GUGAGGAAUAUUGGUCAAUGGGCGAGAGCCUGAACCAGCCAAGUCGCGUGAAGGAAGAAGGAUCUAUGGUUCGUAAACUUCUUUUGCAGGGGAAUAAAGUGCGGGACGUGUCCUGUUUUGUAUGUACCCUGAGAAUAAGGAUCGGCUAACUCCGUGCCAGCAGCCGCGGUAAUACGGAGGAUCCGAGCGUUAUCCGGAUGUAUUGGGUUUAAAGGGUGCGUAGGUGGUUUGAUAAGUCAGCGGUGAAAGUUUGCAGCUUAACUGUAAAAAUGCCGUUGAAACUGUCGGACUUGAGUGUAAAUGAGGUAGGCGGAAUGCGUGGUGUAGCGGUGAAAUGCAUAGAUAUCACGCAGAACUCCGAUUGCGAAGGCAGCUUACUAAGCUACAACUGACACUGAAGCACGAAAGCGUGGGGAUCAAACAGGAUUAGAUACCCGUGUAGUCC